UCAUCUCCGGGGGUAGAGCACUGUUUCGGCAAGGGGGUCAUCCCGACUUACCAACCCGAUGCAAACUGCGAAUACCGGAGAAUGUUAUCACGGGAGACACACGGCGGGUGCUAACGUCCGUCGUGAAGAGGGAAACAACCCAGACCGCCAGCUAAGGUCCCAAAGUCAUGGUUAAGUGGGAAACGAUGUGGGAAGGCCCAGACAGCCAGGAUGUUGGCUUAGAAGCAGCCAUCAUUUAAAGAAAGCGUAAUAGCUCACUGGUCGAGUCGGCCUGCGCGGAAGAUGUAACGGGGCUAAACCAUGCACCGAAGCUGCGGCAGCGACNNNNNNNNNNNNNNNNNNNNNNNNNNNNNNNNNNNNNNNNNNNNNNNNNNAUGCUGGAGGUAUCAGAAGUGCGAAUGCUGACAUAAGUAACGAUAAAGCGGGUGAAAAGCCCGCUCGCCGGAAGACCAAGGGUUCCUGUCCAACGUUAAUCGGGGCAGGGUGAGUCGACCCCUAAGGCGAGGCCGAAAGGCGUAGUCGAUGGGAAACAGGUUAAUAUUCCUGUACUUGGUGUUACUGCGAAGGGGGGACGGAGAAGGCUAUGUUGGCCGGGCGACGGUUGUCCCGGUUUAAGCGUGUAGGCUGGUUUUCCAGGCAAAUCCGGAAAAUCAAGGCUGAGGCGUGAUGACGAGGCACUACGGUGCUGAAGCAACAAAUGCCCUGCUUCCAGGAAAAGCCUCUAAGCAUCAGGUAACAUCAAAUCGUACCCCAAACCGACACAGGUGGUCAGGUAGAGAAUACCAAGGCGCUUGAGAGAACUCGGGUGAAGGAACUAGGCAAAAUGGUGCCGUAACUUCGGGAGAAGGCACGCUGAUAUGUAGGUGAGGUCCCUCGCGGAUGGAGCUGAAAUCAGUCGAAGAUACCAGCUGGCUGCAACUGUUUAUUAAAAACACAGCACUGUGCAAACACGAAAGUGGACGUAUACGGUGUGACGCCUGCCCGGUGCCGGAAGGUUAAUUGAUGGGGUUAGCGGUAACGCGAAGCUCUUGAUCGAAGCCCCGGUAAACGGCGGCCGUAACUAUAACGGUCCUAAGGUAGCGAAAUUCCUUGUCGGGUAAGUUCCGACCUGCACGAAUGGCGUAAUGAUGGCCAGGCUGUCUCCACCCGAGACUCAGUGAAAUUGAACUCGCUGUGAAGAUGCAGUGUACCCGCGGCAAGACGGAAAGACCCCGUGAACCUUUACUAUAGCUUGACACUGAACAUUGAGCCUUGAUGUGUAGGAUAGGUGGGAGGCUUUGAAGUGUGGACGCCAGUCUGCAUGGAGCCGACCUUGAAAUACCACCCUUUAAUGUUUGAUGUUCUAACGUUGACCCGUAAUCCGGGUUGCGGACAGUGUCUGGUGGGUAGUUUGACUGGGGCGGUCUCCUCCUAAAGAGUAACGGAGGAGCACGAAGGUUGGCUAAUCCUGGUCGGACAUCAGGAGGUUAGUGCAAUGGCAUAAGCCAGCUUGACUGCGAGCGUGACGGCGCGAGCAGGUGCGAAAGCAGGUCAUAGUGAUCCGGUGGUUCUGAAUGGAAGGGCCAUCGCUCAACGGAUAAAAGGUACUCCGGGGAUAACAGGCUGAUACCGCCCAAGAGUUCAUAUCGACGGCGGUGUUUGGCACCUCGAUGUCGGCUCAUCACAUCCUGGGGCUGAAGUAGGUCCCAAGGGUAUGGCUGUUCGCCAUUUAAAGUGGUACGCGAGCUGGGUUUAGAACGUCGUGAGACAGUUCGGUCCCUAUCUGCCGUGGGCGCUGGAGAACUGAGGGGGGCUGCUCCUAGUACGAGAGGACCGGAGUGGACGCAUCACUGGUGUUCGGGUUGUCAUGCCAAUGGCACUGCCCGGUAGCUAAAUGCGGAAGAGAUAAGUGCUGAAAGCAUCUAAGCACGAAACUUGCCCCGAGAUGAGUUCUCCCUGACUCCUUGAGAGUCCUGAAGGAACGUUGAAGACGACGACGUUGAUAGGCCGGGUGUGUAAGCGCAGCGAUGCGUUGAGCUAACCGGUACUAAUGAACCGUGAGGCUUAACCUU
Molecule: ribosomal RNA, 2051 nt
Filed under: Escherichia coli
Lineage: Bacteria; Pseudomonadati; Pseudomonadota; Gammaproteobacteria; Enterobacterales; Enterobacteriaceae
Description: 23S ribosomal RNA
Rfam family: Bacterial large subunit ribosomal RNA
Source: RNAcentral